This 510-nucleotide ribosomal RNA is filed under the name uncultured bacterium. RNAcentral describes it as "partial 16S ribosomal RNA". It matches the Rfam family "Bacterial small subunit ribosomal RNA", at positions 28 to 507 of the family's 1533-position model. The record is from RNAcentral.
GACGAACGCUGGCGGCGUGCUUAACACAUGCAAGUCGAACGAAGAGCGAUGGAAGCUUGCUUCUAUCAAUCUUAGUGGCGAACGGGUGAGUAACGCGUAAUCAACCUGCCCUUCAGAGGGGGACAACAGUUGGAAACGACUGCUAAUACCGCAUACGAUCUAAUCUCGGCAUCGAGGAUAGAUGAAAGGUGGCCUCUACAUGUAAGCUAUCACUGAAGGAGGGGAUUGCGUCUGAUUAGCUAGUUGGAGGGGUAACGGCCCACCAAGGCGAUGAUCAGUAGCGGGUCGGAGGGGAAGAGGGGCCACUUGGGGCGUGAGACAGGCCCCGGACUCCAGGGGGAGGGAGCGGGGGGUACUCUCCCGCAAUGGAGGAGAGUCGGAGGGAGCACCGCGGGGUGAGGGAUGGCGGCCGGCGGUUUGUAGGGCUUUGUAAACGGGGAGGAAAGCUGUUUUGGCGAAUGGGGAGAGGGUUGGACGGUACGGGAAUAAAAAGCCACGGCUAACUACGUG